Molecule: small nuclear RNA, 102 nt
Filed under: Notamacropus eugenii (tammar wallaby)
Lineage: Eukaryota; Metazoa; Chordata; Mammalia; Diprotodontia; Macropodidae
Source: RNAcentral
CUGCUUUGGCAGCACAUAACUAAAAUUGAAAUGAUACAGAGAAGAUUAGUAUGUCCCCUGUGCAAGAAUGCCACACAAAUUCGUGAGGUGUUCCAUAUCUUA